This is a long non-coding RNA of Astatotilapia calliptera (eastern happy), 1152 nucleotides long. NCBI's taxonomy places the organism in Eukaryota, Metazoa, Chordata, Actinopteri, Cichliformes, Cichlidae. The record is from Ensembl.
CUUCGAAAGUUAUUAGAAAAUUCAGCAUUACCUGACAGGUAGUGGAAGAAAUGUUAUAUUCCUUUAGUAAAGUAGCAAAGCAACAGAACAACAUCAUGUAAAUGCUUAACUACACAUAACAUUGAAUUAUUGGCAAACUGAACAUAAGGUAAUCAAAAGCAAAAGCAUUUAUUCUGCAGAAAAAUGUUCCCUACCUGUGCUGUAUGGAUCAAUAUCACUGCGGUGUUGGCAACACAGCUGUUUCAAUUUCAUUCAACAAAGUGAUUUCUCAGAGAUGCUAAUCUGCAAGUGCUGGUACGAUCUGCACCUGUUCAACUUUCCUGUUUCGUUAAAGUGAACAUGACAGGAGUAAUCUCCUCUCCGUUAUCAAGGUUUUCACUGCUAACAUGCUAAAGGUGUUUAAAAAACACAUCUCCACACUGCACUAUAACUUUACAUAUGUUGGACACAUAUGGUGCUUACUAAGAGAAAAUGCAUUGGUUACAGAGAUAAUGCACAAUGUGCUUUAAAAAAAAAAAAAAUUGCUAAUACCUAUUCUGUACUCACAAUGCACAGAUACUACCUGAUCUCAGAGCAGUCAAGGCAGAGCCCAUGGCAGAAUGUUAAUCUCUCAUCAAGCUCCCGUUAAAGACAAGAGGUUCAUCCACAAUGUGCAUGUGCAAACAAUCACAGAAAUCUGCUUGCCUCUCAGCAAACUCGCGCUAUUAUUAAAGGGGUACAACCACACCCAUCAAAACUUUGCUCCCUAUGGAUUCCAGUGGAAAUUAACUCAAGCAGAGUCAAACCUGUUUCUACGGACAAUUUCAGAAUCCAUCCACAAGAUAGACAAAUGUUAAAAAGCAUUUGUCUCCUUCCUGAUUUCUUAUAAAAAGUUAUCCAAACCUACUUAGCCCUAUUUAUCUGGUGGUGGUGUGAUGAUCUGGGGCUGCUCUGCUGCUUCAGGAUCUGAAUGACUUUCUGUGUUUGGUGGAAACAUAAAUUCUGCUCUCUAACCGAAAAUCCUAAAAGAAAAUAUCUAGCCAUUAGUCCAUGCUCAAGUACACUUGGGUUAUGCAGUAGGACAAUCAUCCGAAUCAAGCCCACCUCUGAUUGACUAUAAAAAUAUAGAAGGAGAAGAAAAAGAAGGUUUUAUAGAGGGCUAGUCAAUCUGAA